Long non-coding RNA from Orbicella faveolata, 384 nucleotides. NCBI's taxonomy places the organism in Eukaryota, Metazoa, Cnidaria, Anthozoa, Scleractinia, Merulinidae. The record is from RefSeq and is a predicted model, not a curated record.
CAAGAGAAGUUACAAGUGAAGGAAAGGAAUGGAAAAGUUCCCACAGCUGAGAAGAAAUCUUUGCCUUCAAAAAAGAAAAAACAAGGUAACAAUGAACAAAGUAGAAAGAAGAAAGACCCAGUCCAAUCCAAGAAAGGUAGGUUUACUUAACCAUAAUCAGAAUCAUGACAAUAUUAUCACUGUAAUAUGUAUAAUAUAAAUUAUGCAAAGUUUGUUGGUUGUUGUGGAGUCCUUUUUCAUGUGUGUGUGGAUUAUAAAGAAUACAUGUACAGGGGUUUCAAAACAAGGCAGUAACUGCUGGGGUUCUGUCAGCUACUUUAGUACACCUUGAAUGAUUCAUAACAGUUUCUUUGGUCAUGCCAAUCAGUUCGCAACAAACAAGCU